Molecule: ribosomal RNA, 780 nt
Filed under: uncultured bacterium
Lineage: Bacteria
Description: bacterial SSU rRNA
Rfam family: Bacterial small subunit ribosomal RNA
Source: RNAcentral
UGAGAAGCUUGCUUUUCAUGAGAGUGGCGCACGGGUGCGUAACACGUAUGUAACCUACCUUAAUCAGGGGGAUAGCCUCUCGAAAGAGAGAUUAACACCGCAUAAAAUCAAUUUAUGGCAUCAUAGAAUGAUCAAAUAUUUAUAGGAUUAAGAUGGGCAUGCGGAACAUUAGCUAGUUGGUAAGGUAACGGCUUACCAAGGCUACGAUGUUUAGGGGAUCUGAGAGGAUGACCCCCCACACUGGUACUGAGACACGGACCAGACUCCUACGGGAGGCAGCAGUAAGGAAUAUUGGUCAAUGGGCGCAAGCCUGAACCAGCCAUGCCGCGUGCAGGAAGACGGCCCUACGGGUUGUAAACUGCUUUUGUACCGGAAUAAACCUUUGUAUGUAUACGAAGCUGAAUGUACGGUAAGAAUAAGGAUCGGCUAACUCCGUGCCAGCAGCCGCGGUAAUACGGAGGAUCCAAGCGUUAUCCGGAUUUAUUGGGUUUAAAGGGUGCGUAGGUGGCCUAUUAAGUCAGGGGUGAAAGACGGUAGCUCAACUAUCGCAGUGCCUUUGAUACUGAUGGGCUUGAAUACACUAGAGGUAGGCGGAAUGUGACAAGUAGCGGUGAAAUGCAUAGAUAUGUCACAGAACACCAAUUGCGAAGGCAGCUUACUAUGGUGUCAUUGACACUGAGGCACGAAAGCGUGGGGAUCAAACAGGAUUAGAUACCCUGGUAGUCCACGCCCUAAACGAUGAACACUCGAUGUUGGCGAUAUACGGUCAGCGUCUAAGCG